UUUAACUGGUACCAUAGUCUGCA
This 23-nucleotide non-coding RNA is filed under the name Rattus norvegicus (Norway rat). The record is from RNAcentral. Lineage: Eukaryota; Metazoa; Chordata; Mammalia; Rodentia; Muridae.